RNAcentral lists this ribosomal RNA (451 nucleotides) under uncultured marine bacterium. RNAcentral describes it as "bacterial SSU rRNA". It matches the Rfam family "Bacterial small subunit ribosomal RNA", at positions 360 to 804 of the family's 1533-position model. The record is from RNAcentral.
AAUCUUUAGCAAUGGACGAAAGUCUGACUAUGCGACGCCGCGUGCAGGACGAAGGCUUUAGGGUCGUAAACUGCUUUUGUCAGGGAAGAAACCUUAAUGGUUAAUAGCCAUUAAGCUGACGGUACCUGAGGAAUAAGCCACGGCCAACUCCGUGCCAGCAGCCGCGGUAAUACGGAGGUGGCAAGCGUUACUCGGAAUCAUUGGGUGUAAAGGGCAAGUAGGCGGUCUAUUAAGUGAGGGGUGAAAUCCUGCGGCUCAAUCGCAGAACUGCCUUUCAAACUACUAGACUUGAGAUUGGAAGAGGGAAACGGAAUUAGCAGUGUAAGGGUGAAAUCUGUAGAUAUUGCUAAGAACACCGACGGCGAAGGCAGUCUCCUGGUCCAAUACUGACGCUAAAUUGCGAAAGCUAGGGUAGCAAACAGAAUUAGAUACUCUGGUAGUCCUAGCUGUA